This 9281-nucleotide long non-coding RNA is filed under the name Triticum aestivum (bread wheat). Its description in RNAcentral is "long non-coding RNA (TAES_LNC026222)". The record is from RNAcentral. Lineage: Eukaryota; Viridiplantae; Streptophyta; Magnoliopsida; Poales; Poaceae.
AGGGAGGCACCUUAUAUAUCAUCUACAGCCCUAGCCGUCGUCUACACCACGCCAUUCACCAAGAACACAUCCAUCUCCAUCUCCAUUGCUGCUCCAUCACCACCAUAGAGGAAGGGACAAGAUCAAGGGAAGAAGAGAGGGCUCCACCAUCGCGAGCACCGGCCUUCGGGCCGGUGCCAUCUUCACCGUGUCGGCACCUCCAUCGGCACCGCCCCCGUCAUCACCACCGGCGCCGCCAUGCCUUCUUCCUUCACCGACUCUAGGCCGACUUGUAACUUAACUCUCUCCUUAAUGUUUGAGUAUAUGUAUUUCUUCUGAAGGAUACAGAUGAACUACUUUAUGAUUAGAAUCAUUAUCAUUCCUAAGUGAUCCAAUAUGCUCUUGUUCAUGUUCAAGUUAGUAUUCUCGCGGGUGUUGGGAGGAGGUCUCACUUGCACUUUUGUCGUGAUUGGCCGUGGAGGAACUACUGUCGUUGUAUGGGUUAGAGCAUCUCUAGCAGUUGGCCCCCCAGGGGGCGCCUAAAAUCGCCGCCUGGGGGUGAGCCGGCGCAAAAAAUGGGCAUGGGGGCGAAUUGGUCCCCAGCCGCCGGCCCCAGGGCCGCCCCCAGGCGCUUUUAAAAAAUAAAAAGUAUAGCAAAUUUCGGCACAGUUCGGCUAAACACGACAAAUUUCGGCCAACUUGAUCAUAUAUUUGGACAAAGUUCGCCGAUUUUCAUUACAUAGCAAAUAUAUAAUAAACUAAUCUAAAACAAACUGGCUGGACACCGAGUAGUCGCCGUCGUCGCCGCCAUCCUCGUCGUCGGCCUUCUCCUCCUUGACGCGGGCGCCCCUGCUGGACCCAGCGUCGCCAUGGCGGACUGGUGGCGGUGGCGGCGCGUCAUCGUCGUCGCUGUCGUCGAUGACGACGACUCCUCCUUCGCCGCGGCCUUGGCGGCGUUCCGCGAAGCGCUGCAGGGCGGCGCACUAGCGCUCCAUCACCAUCUUGAGGGAGUCCUGGCAUGCCCAUUCAAGGGCCGCAUCGUCGUCGCGCUCGACCUCGCCGUGCUCCGUCUUCACGGCGGCGAGCCCCGGCCCCGUCUUUGGCUUGACGAAGCGCGAAGGAGGAGCCGACGAGGAGGCGCGCCGGCCGCCCUAAUUGAUGACGAUGCCGGCGCUGCAAGUGCGCCGGGCGAGCGGCGUCUCCGCCGCAGGCUCGGCCUUGACGCCGAGCAGCGCCGGAGUGCCGGAGGAGUGCGAGGAAGAGCGCGAGGAGGAGGAAGAAGAGGAGGAGCCAAACCUCCUUGGCACCCAUGGCCCGUCGCGUCGGUGGUGCGCCUGGGCGGCCGCCCUCGCCGGGGGGUACGCCAAUGGCGGGUCGUUGUCGCCCUCGAGGUGCGUCAGCACGCCCUCGAGUGUGCGGCCGGGGACGCCCCACCACAGGUGGCGCCCCUCGCUAUUCUUCAGGCCGCCGACCACCGCCGCGCCAUUGGUGGACGCCAUCCGCUGCUGCUAACGGCGCUCGAAGUACGCCGCCCAAGUCGCAUGGUUGUCGGCGGCGUACUAGGGGAGGGAGAGUUGGGCGGCGGUGAGGGAGGCACGCACGACGUCGACCUACUCGGCGAAGUAGGCGGGUUUGGCCACGGCGUCGGGAAACAGAGGAAUGGGCACUCCCCCGUUGUUGAGCCUCCAGCCCGUCGGCCCGGCGCGCAUGUCCAGCGGCGCCGGGAUGUUCGCCUGGAAUAGGAGCCAGGACUCCUGUUCGCUGAGCGUGCGGCGGCCGAAGCCGUUGGCCGCCGCCUCGUCUCCGGGGAAACGCUCGGCCAUCGGGGAGGGGAGGGAGAGGGGAGGAGCUGGGCAGCGGCGCUCGGGAGAGGGGAAGGCUCGGUGGCGGCACUCGGGAGAGGUAUAGCUCGGCGGCGAUGGCUGAGCUGGUGUGGCCACAGGCGAGCGAGGCCACCGGCUUAUAUAGCCGCGCCGCGCCCGUGUGUACACGUGCGAGGGAGGGGAGGCGUCGGCACGCCGUCCCGUGAUGCGCCGCCCGUGAGGAAUCAAUGGCAAGGCUGACAGCCUUGCCAUUGAUCCCCCACCGGAACCGAGGCGUUGGGGGAAGACGAGGCGCGGUGUCGCUGAUGCGGCUGGCCCGCAGCUUUUUCGCGCCAAAACCACUUGCCCCGGCACCCCCGGGCGCCCCCCAGUGCGUCGGGUUUGGUCUGGGUCCGCCGGCGCUGAUUUCGGCCCAGACCGGCGAAAAUCGGGCUUCUGGGGGCGCGACUGGGCCGUUUUUUCAGCGCCGGCGUGAAAAAGAUCGCCUGGGGAGGCCUUCCUGGGGGCGCGGCUGGAGAUGCUCUUAGGAUGAUGAGGGAAUUUGAGGUGAUACUAAAACCUCACUUCCUUAAUUGACUCCUUUGUGAUAACCGGCAUGGGGAAGCAUCAGUUGGUGAAGUAUGUAGCUUGAAGUCUACUUUAGAGUAGAACAUGUUCUGUACUGAGGAGCGGCCACUUAUGCAUAUGAAGGGUGGAUAGAGGAUACGAAAGAGAGUGUUUGCUCUGCACUACUUGCACGGGUCAUAUUUGUGGUGAUGACUCCGCAGUCCUAGAAAACACUUUCCUACUCAAGCACCUUCAGCACUAACGUAGUAUAUUUUUAUUACUGUUUACGUUCUUAUUCGUAAUUUAGUUAAACACCAUUUUUAUCUAGUUUCCCUAGCAAAUUACAGAGUAUAUUAUUUUCAAACUCUGGUUUGGGUGCGUACGUAGCCAUGUGAAGUGACAACGUAGUUGUGAGGUCUGUGAUGCCUUCCAACCAGCUCCUUGUGGGUUCAACACUUAUCAUGAAAGUGCUACAAGAGCCCUGUGCACUUGCAAGUCAUCAGAUGUUUACUUUUUCAUACAUGCUCUACAAUUUUGUAUACAACUAAAAGAAUAUUUUUACAUUUUUUAAAUACAUAUAUAACAUUUUUUACAAAACACAUUUGUUUAAAAUACACAUUGGAAAUUUUUCUAAAUAACAAAACAUUUUUUCUGAACUAUGCACUUUCUACAUUGUACAAACAUUUUUCUAAAAAUGUCAUGAACACAUUUUUACAUUUUUGAAACAAGUUAACAUUUUUCUUAAUGUAACAAAAAAAAUCAAUUUAUGAAUCAUUUUUUAGUUACACGUACAUUCUUUUACAAUGUAUAACAUUUUUUUAAAUGUCACGUGCAUUAUUCUAAAACAUUUUUCAUGCACAUGAUUAAGAUUUUUCAUACACAAGAAUAAAGUUUCAUGUAAAGUAUGUAAUUUCAUGUAAAAUUACAUACAUAUAUAAAUAAAUAAAUAAAGAAAAAAAAGGAAAAACUAAUAUGUGAAUAAAAAAGGAAGAAAAAAAUUACAUGAUGUAAACAUGAUGAUAAGCCAUGGUAGGACUCGCCAAUCCCUAUUCGGCGCUGCAAGCGCCGGUUCAGGCCAUUUUCGUAGUGAGUGGCUGGCCCAUAUACGUUCUGUCUUUUUUCUUUGUUUUUUCGUCUUUUUCGUUUCUCUUUCUUUUCCGGUUUCCAUUUUUGUUUUGUUUCUUUUAUUUUUUCUGAAAUUUUUUCAAAUUUGUGGAUUUUCCCCCAAAUUCAUGAACUUCUUAAAAUCCGUGGAUGUUUUAGUGCAUGAACUUUUAAAAUAAAUAGUGAAACAUGAACUUUUAGGUCAGGAUUUUCUUUUCAAAUUCACGUCUUUUUCAAUUUCCAUAAUAUAUUUUUAAAAAUUAUGACCUUUUCAAAUUCCACGAGCUUUUUAAUUCAUGAACUUUUUCCAAAUAUGUGAAGUUUGUCAUCAUGAACUUUUCUAAAAAGUAAUGAAAAUUUUCCAUUUCCACGAACUUUCUAUAGUUGUAUAAACCUAUUCAAAUUCAUCAACUUUUUUCAAGUUCAUGAGUUUUUUUACAAUUUUUUGUGAAUCCCUUUUUUAAAACUUCUUUUUAAUUUUUGUAUGAUUCAUUAGUGAACUAAUAAUAAUAACAAUAAAGAGAACUAAAAACAAAAUUCUUAGUAAAUCCGCACGUCCUACAUUCAGUGACCACCACAAACCCAGUUUUUUUUUUUUUUUGAGGGAAACCACAAACCCGGUUGUGCGUCAACCCUGUGCGUCGAGCUGCUGUAUGACGCAAAAUGCGUCACAUAGAAGGUCCCGUAAGACACUGUAGGACCGGUUCGGAAGUCAGUCAUGAAAUGGGCCGUGAACGGAGAGAUUUUGGACUACAACGCUGCCAACCCAUUUAUUUAUUGUCAUAUUCCUCAAAAGAAAUUGUCAUACCACUCAAUUUUAUUUAUUUAUUGUCACCGUUGCAGUUACUAAUCUUCUAGUGCACGUCUAGCCUCCUUUCUCACCGGCUAAAUCCAACUCCGGCCAGAUCGGCCACUCAUCUGCAGUCCAUUAAGAGAAACCAGAUCGACGGUGCUCUUCCACUACCCGAUGUCUACCUCUUCCUCAUCUGCCGUUGCCAGUGAUUCCCUGCCAGGAUUGCGGCGAGCAGAUCAAAGCUUGUACCCAAUUUUGAAACAAUCAAAUUGUCUUCAGGAUUUUCGGCAAAACCGCAAAUCGCCUUCUCGAGUGCAUUAGCUCGAUUAGGACACAACAUCCUGCCUGAUGCGGCAGCACCAAUCCUCACUCUGCAAAAUAAUCCAUGUAAACAACGAGUGUCAGGUAUAGUAUAUAUCACAUAAACACCACAAGUCAUUCUACAACCAAAAAAUUGAAUACUCUGUUGCGCCGCAUAACAGUUUACUCAGGAUGCAUUGCUACAGCCAUGCAGUUCAGAUCACGCAACAGAUUUUAACAAAUGUACGGGCUAAUUUAUUAAUUUGUCCAUUCUUUUCAUACUUAAGGCUUAGAAUCAGACACCAGACAACAAUCAGGAUCAACAAGAGCACAAACUUCUAUACUAAAUCUGACACUUUCUUUACUCAGGGGUAGACUAUGUCCAUAGUUCACAGCAAACAAGACUGAUUCCUACAAUUUUGGUGGGUCGAACACAGCACGUUCCUGGUUGCUACAAUUUUCCACUUACAUAUGAAAUCAUUCAAAAAAUCACCACUCAUAUACUGUCUCGCUUUUACAUAUGAAUAGCCCAAUGUGUCCCUACAAAUUGCACAUCUGCAUAAUGCCAUACCUUCGCGUCCACCCCAGGAGCUUUCGGGUCGUCCUGCUUAAUCGGCUGCUCAGAUCCUUGCAGCGAAUGCAUUCGUCGCCGCCUCCGCCGGACAGAUCUCCCCGUCGGCACUCACUUUCCUCAUGGGCGCCAGCUGUUCCAUAACCAGUGCGACGACUGGGUAGUGCAGAGGCUCCAUCGGAGCUCUCAGUCACCUCUUUCAGCAUGGUUGUACUGCAUAACAAAAUUGGCAAAACGUAAGAUCCAUAUCAGGGUACACUAUCAAAAUCACUCGGAACACAUAAAAAUUGGUCAUAUUCGAGCACUCUAAUUGGCUGCAUCAAAAACUCCAUCUUCAGUGCCUACCUUCUUGUUUCCUACAAAAGUUUGUCCGCCGAGGCCACCGCUCUCCCUGGAAGGAUCCACGCGCCUGAGGUAGGAGAUAAUUGUAUCCUGCACCCCAUCCGUGCAUUAACUCGGUUGCUGUCGCAAUUCACGGAAAGCAAGUUUCCGGAUCCACGGACCGGCAUGGACGUUGAUGCCCCGAGCCACGGCUCUGCUUCACUGGUUUCAGCCUUCGAGCCAUAUUAGAGUACCCUUGGUUCGUUUGGGCUUUCAGGUCAUUAAUCUCUUUAAACUUGCAUUCUUUCACAGAAAUGGCCUGAUGUUCCAUUGUCUUCUCUUUCCUUGCAAACUAAAAUAUCAGUUUUUUUUUAAGAUAAGAUGUAACAUAAAAAAACACAAUACGUAACACGAGAAGGGGAAUACAGUCAAUACACAAUCACAUAAUUCUCACAUAACACCAUCACAUAAUUUCUCUAGAUACUAUUAAAAAAUAACCUACAAUAUAUUAAUCCAAAAGGCAAAAACAUGCUAAGGGAGGAAAGAGAGUCUUGAUACAUUUGGAGGUGUGGUACCUUUUCUUUUUCUUGCAAACAUUAAUUGCCUCUCUUGAUUUGGGUGAUACAGAUGAACUUGCAACCUGUUUCCUUUCCAAGAAGUCUGCAAGUUUUUGAACAUAUGCUAUGAAGUACUUCGGAGGAGUAUUGAUCUGUAUAUUUACUAUGAAGGACACCAUUAGAGUAGCAGAGAUGUAAUUACCAGGUAAUGCCCUGUUUUAAAAAGACGAAAAUUAUAUGUUGAAAAAAAAAGUCAAAACAUUGCUAGAGCAGGAAGUAGUUUCUGUUACGUGGGGAAAUCAUAAUGGAAGGCGCAAGGCAGCAGGGGCAGGUUAUGCUGUGGCUAGACAAGGGCAGUUCGAUGUCGUAGAAGGAUGCAUCUGUUUUGGUAGACUCCUGAUUCUAUUAAGGUAGUAUUUGAGUCAGAUUCCUAUUAGAGUCCGAAGUAUGUCAAAGUGGUACUAGUCCAUGUCCUAUAUAAAGGACCUACCCGUGUAAUCUUAGAGCAUCUCCAAUAGAAGAUGCAAAUUUGGAGAUGUAAAAAUGUACAUCUCCAAAAAGUGCUUUUUGCCUCUCCAGAAAGGCCCACUCCAACAGAUGAUGCAAAAAGGAGAUGUAAAAGAGCAACACCAAUAGAAGAUGCAAAUGAAGAUGUAAAAUUGUACUUCAACUAGUACUCAGACCGGUGACGGUGGGCGAGGAGGCGGGGCGGGGCGGCGGUGCGGGGCUGCGGGCGGAUUGAGUGGCNNNNNNNNNNNNNNNNNNNNNNNNNNNNNNNNNNNNNNNNNNNNNNNNNNNNNNNNNNNNNNNNNNNNNNNNNNNNNNNNNNNNNNNNNNNNNNNNNNNNNNNNNNNNNNNNNNNNNNNNNNNNNNNNNNNNNNNNNNNNNNNNNNNNNNNNNNNNNNNNNNNNNNNNNNNNNNNNNNNNNNNNNNNNNNNNNNNNNNNNNNNNNNNNNNNNNNNNNNNNNNNNNNNNNNNNNNNNNNNNNNNNNNNNNNNNNNNNNNNNNNNNNNNNNNNNNNNNNNNNNNNNNNNNNNNNNNNNNNNNNNNNNNNNNNNNNNNNNNNNNNNNNNNNNNNNNNNNNNNNNNNNNNNNNNNNNNNNNNNNNNNNNNNNNNNNNNNNNNNNNNNNNNNNNNNNNNNNNNNNNNNNNNNNNNNNNNNGCCGGUCAUGCGGGCGGGGCAGCAGCGGUGCGGGAAUGCGGGCAGGGCGGCGGGGGUGUAGGGAUGCGCCCGGUGAUACGGGUGGGUGGCGGCGGUGCGGUGAUGCGGGCGGGACGGUGGCGACGAUGGAAUCGAGCUGUGGCGAAAAAACACCCGAUUCGCGGAGUGCGGCGGCGGCUGACGGUCGAAACCGGCGGCGGGGUGCCGGAGGGGUCGGGUGGGCGGCGGCGAAUUUGGGCGAAUUCGGCCAGCGACUGGUCGCGUGGAAGUGAAAUGAACGACAAUUGGGUAGUUGGCGGACGGUUGCGUUUUUACAUCCCCAUAUGCUGGAGAUGCAAAUUUGCACUGCGAGGCGUUGUAGUUUACAUCUCCGGGAGGCGGAGAUGUAAUUUUUUUGCAUCUACAUCAUCUGUUGGUGAAGGGUUUUGGGCCUUGGAGAUGCAAAAGUUAGUUAUUUUUGGAUCUACAUCUUCUAUUGGAGAUGCUUUUAGAGGCAAGCAAUAAUCAACAAAGUCUAAUUUCCCUGAUCUCUGUUCUCUAUCACUAAUCCCUGCUACCUUCUACUACUGCGGCGGCGACGGCGCCGCACCGUCGGCCCUCAAGCACCUGCAGGCUGUUCCAGUUUCACUUGUACCAAUCCUCUUGUGGUUUUGCCUGCUGACAAAACCUACAACUUCGACUUACAAUUAUUUACAGUCCACCUACUACCUAGGGCUAGUUACACUUCAUGAUCUUGUUUUCCAUCCCGACCUGCAUCACUGGAUUUUUAGAUUGGAUUUUCUGGUGGUAGCUCUUAAUCCUCACAUAAGGCAAAUGACUUAAUCCUCACUCUGUAUCAGUUAAGUAACUAUGCUGUAGCAUUCUUCAAGGUAAAAACAAGCAUUCAAAUUCGCACUCUGAUUGUAUUUUCUUAACUAUGUUGUAGCAUUUGUUUCCAAGGUAACACAAGCAUUCAAAUUUGCACUCUGAUUAUAUUUUCUUACCUAUGCAGUAAGACUUGUUUUCAAGGUAACACAAGCAUUGAAAUUCGCACAUGUUUAUUCAGUACUGUCACGAAGUGGCUGCAGUGUUCAUGCUUAGAAAAUGCUAUCACAACCAAAUUGCUUAACCCUUUCAGUAUCUAAAUUCCUGAUAUAAUCAUAUAUUCUUGUAGCAGACCUAAUUCUUACUAAGAAGUCAUGCUACCUCCAUGUACAGCUUGUGUGGUAGGUAUCACAGAUCCUUCAGACUACCAUGAUUAAAAUUCAAGAAUUGUACAACUACAUACUGCCAUACCUUUGGGUCCAGCCAGGGGGUUCAGGAUUCAUCUUGCCAAUCGACUACUUGGAUGCCCAUGGUGAACCUCCUCCCUCCGCAGCCGCUGCCCCCUGCGCCUCACAGAUCUGCCCUUCGGCGUUCAGCUCCUGCAUCGGCGACAACGUUUGCUCGGCAACUGGUUUGGUCAUCGGACAAUCUAACGACUCCAUCAGGACGUCGCUGUGAUUAACAGCCUCCAACACGGUCAAUCUUCUAGUGCAGAAGAAAGAAAUGGGAAAUCGAUAAUGGCUCAGAAGCAAAACUAAAGCGACCAGAGACAACUGCCCCACGCGCUGCUCUGGAGCGCCUCGACGUACAUGCGCGCCCUGUCCCUGACGGGGUCUAGCUCGGCCACCGUCAUCAGCGCCUGUUGGCAGCUGAGUACCGCCCACUCCUGCAGCUACCAUAAUAUUGCCUAAAAAAUACAUGUAUAUUUAUACCAUAAUAUUGCCUAAAGAAAAACAAAACUGAGACGAGGGGAAAUAAUUUCAAAGCACAUUACUAACAUGACCCAACAUGCAAACACAGCUGGAUAUCAUAAUGCAUCUUUAGACAAAUUCACAGGCAAUGUAUUUUUUUUUCAGCCACACAGAUCAUCAAUACCGGAUCAGGCACGAGACACAUCAAGCAGAAGCAAAAUAUACAUAUAUGUAAGCAUCAGCAGUACAGAAAUUCAGUGAAUGAAAUAGGAGAGAUGAUUCUUGUGAUGGAUUACAAUGUGACAUAAUGAUUAAUGGAGUUACUCCUGUUUCAGCUUGCUCAACAAGAAGGUUGCAAAUGGCAUCACACAUUGCCUGAAAGACAUUAAUCAAGCACAUCUCAGAUGAUA